AUCCACUGCCAUAUCACCCUGCAGCCCAAGCCAGGUUACUCACUAAAGCUAAGCAGGGCUGAGCCUGGUCAGUACCUGGAUGGGAGACCACAUGGGAAAACUAGAUGACUGUUGAAA
Molecule: ribosomal RNA, 117 nt
Organism: Danio rerio (zebrafish)
Lineage: Eukaryota; Metazoa; Chordata; Actinopteri; Cypriniformes; Danionidae
Source: Ensembl